CAUCGUGAGGACACACAAACAGCCUGGUGAACAGGCCAGUAGCCAGCACCAGCUUGCCGGCCACAUGAGCGGAUUUCCUUGGAAGGUUCUCCAGUCCCCGUCAAGCCCUUGGGGGACCACAGCUCUGACCAGAACCUCAUGAGAAAUCCCAAGCCAGAACCUCCCCAGCUAAGCUGCUCCUUGAUACUCAGGGCUUCACGCACUUCUGGAGAUGCCACCCGUUCCUGCAACUCUCCUGACCAGCUCUGUGCAGGAGCCCCCCAGCCUGCGACCACAGCUGCUUUCGGCCAGUUCCCAGACCUCGUCCUCCUCUGAAGUGCCAUCUCUGCCUUCCACUGGGCUGACCAGACAUCUUCUCUGAUCCCUCGCGGUCACCCACCGCGUGUGACUGUGACCGACCCCCAUCUCCCCCCCCAAGUCUCAAGUCUCUUGGCUCCCCAGCUGCCUGCUCCUGUUGCUUUGUCACCCCAGCAGGCUCGCCCUAGCCAAUCCCUUUCCUAUGCCCGCGAGAAAGAAGGUUCUAGGCUCCGGUCUGCAUGACCCAGUCACUACCUUACCUGAACACAGACUCUCCAGAUUCUCUCCCUGUGUCCGCAGCACCGCCUUCGAGGAUCUCCAGGACCUGCCAACGUGACCCAGGCACCAGCUCCCUUCCCCUUGCAGGGCCCUGCCCCAGGCCGGUGGGUCGCCUCAGCAGGAGCCCAGGGUCGCCGACAGGAUCUGAUGCACCAUGGGUGCGUGCCCAUGCCUGACUGCUGGCUGUAUUGUCACUGUAACUGUCAACCCCUGUGCCUCCCCCCACCUUACAGAGCCUCGCGGGCUCAGCCUCAGGAUGCUGGAUCUUUGUCGUUGUUAACGACUAAACACAAGACUUCUGUUCUCCUCUUCCCUGGGACCAACACAGGACAGGGCGCACAAUCUGAUCCUGGCUGACAAGACCGGACAGGAAGGGUCCCGAGGGACUUCCAGAACUCUUCCCUUGCUCCUGAGAAGGUACAGAAUUCCUUCCCUGCUCCCACACUGGGCUGAGGCGAAGGCUGUCGGGCCCUCUGGCCAUCUUGCGAUCACAAGGGGGUGACCGACAGUCUGAAAACCGGUCAGGACCUGUGUGAAUUCACAACUCACUCCAAGCUGACCAACCCUGGACUGCCCUGUUGACCUUCCAGAAAUGCUGGACUCCUGGCUGUUGAAGCCAAGGGGAGUUGGGAACUUUGAGCUGCAGGUGAAAUCAACCUUACUCAGUAAUGGAUGAAUUGGAAGAAAUUCAAAGAUCGCAUCCUGAGGUUGUGACAUGAACUUAGAGCUUAGCAGCCUAGACCAGCAAGCAGUGGAAGGGCUCCACCCUCCUGACCUCAUCACCUCCCAAAGGCCUCACCUCCUAAUACCGUGGCAUUGGGUGGGGGUGGGGGUGGGAAAACAGGUGUCAACAUAUGAAUUGUGAGGAGACGCACGCAUUUAGUCUGCGCUGGUCAGGGCUCCCAUUUUGGAGCAUCCCCAGGAGCCAGCCCGGGGGUCUUGCAAGUUCACGCUGGCCCCUUCCGUGGGCUGGACGGGGGCAGGGCCGUGCAGCUCACCGCUGUGUCUCUGAAUGCAGGGACUGGCCCAAAGCGGGGGUUCAGGAACCGUGGGAGGCAGGUGCCAACCACUAAGGAAAGCAGAGGCGGUUCGGAGGCCCCGAUCCCAUGAGGUCAUCACGAAUGUCACCUUGGGGGCCGGCCACCGCGAGAACCGAUCCAGCUUUUCUCAUUCCCAGGGUGGGGGAUGGUGGGAGCGGCACAGAGAGGCAAGACCGCAGGGUUUUUAAAAUAACUGCAUCCUUUAAUGGCAGUAAUACAAUUAUUGGAUUAAGAGACCACAGGAGAAAGGGCAGGUGACAUUUCUGGAAGACAGAGAAGGAGUACAAAAAGGGAGCUGGGACAGUCAUGCGAUGAUCAUUGUAAAAAUACAGUACGUUAUAUACAUAUUUGCACCAUCAACUUUCAACUCUGAAGUAAUAUUUACACUUUUGUUACAAUCCUGGUUAGAGAACAUUUUAUUUUUAAAAGCUUGGCCUGAUGGCAAAUGAAAAUUUUGGGGGGAAUUCAUAGUCCCGUGAGGUUCUUAGGCUGAAUAUUCCUAGAGGAGGGUUCCAGCUUCUAUUUCAUCCACAGAUUUCGGUUUUAAAAAAGUAUUUAAUUUUGCUUUUACAAAAGAAAAUUCUCAAAGGAGGGAGAGAGAGAAGGAAAAA
This is a long non-coding RNA of Felis catus (domestic cat), 2227 nucleotides long. RefSeq lists it as uncharacterized. The record is from RefSeq and is a predicted model, not a curated record. NCBI's taxonomy places the organism in Eukaryota, Metazoa, Chordata, Mammalia, Carnivora, Felidae. The transcript is spliced from 2 exons.